UUAUGCAGCAGGAUUCUUAACAUUAAAAUGAAGGGCAUUUCCUCCAUUAAUUUUCUGAAUUUUGUAUCCUACCUUUCUGUCUUCUGCCUUGGUGCUUCUUGGAGGGUCUGUACUGACAAUCUAACAGAGCUAGGAAAUGGUGACACCACUACUACCUUGCAAGCCACAUCCUGGGAUUGGUGAAGCCAUCUGAUUUGCCUUUUGCUGUCAUCUCUAGAAUAUACAAUGAGAAGUAAAAUCUAUUGUGCUUCAGUCACUAAAGUUUAAGCUCUUUGUUGUAGCAACUAAAUCUGCUUCUUAACAAAUACAAAUUUUCAGAUAUAAUUUGUCUUCUGUGAUACCUUGUUACUACUUCAUUCUAUGUCAUAACACGAAAUUAUUUUGACAUUAACUUACAUCUAAGGUACAGUUUAUGAGAAUAUCUUCUUCCUCAUUUCCUCCACUUCAACAGUCUAGUUUGUCUUGGCAUAUUAUUCCUAUGCCAAUUAAUUUCCAUAUUUCUCUUCUCAAACACAUAAACAAAAGAUAAGCAAAAUCUGGCUUAUUUUUACUUAUUCCAACAUUAAGUUUUAUUCUGUAUUUUCAUGUCCUUUUUAUACAGAUGGCUUCUGAUUUUUUAAAAACUUUUCUUAUACCAACAUUUAUUAGUUAUAAGUUGAUUCCAGUAUCAAGCUGUUUUAUUAUUUCUUCUUGUUUAAUUAUGCCCAAGCAAUCACAUUAAAAUACAAUGUUUUUAAUUACUUUUUGCCUUUAUAUUGCAAAUAAGUAUAUAUAAUUUCUUGGAAAUGUUGUGUUUACUUACAUUAUGUUAUCUAUGAAUUUUAUUUCAGGAUAAUAAAUUGAACAUU
Molecule: long non-coding RNA, 848 nt
Filed under: Homo sapiens (human)
Lineage: Eukaryota; Metazoa; Chordata; Mammalia; Primates; Hominidae
Description: HSALNT0249524
Source: RNAcentral